UGGGGUGACACAGAAGGGCAGUGACGCGGGCUGAUGGAAUAGCCCGUCCAAGCAGUGAGGCUAGUGUGUAGGCAAAUCCGCACACUAUUAGGCUAGGCUGUGAUGGGGAGCGAAAAUUGCAGUAGCGAAGGUCAUGUACUCCGGCUGUCGAGAAAAGCCUCUAGCCAGGCGAAGGUGCCCGUACCGCAAACCGACACAGGUAGGCGAGCAGAGCAUGCUAAGGCGCGCGGAAGAACUCUCGUUAAGGAACUCGGCAAAAUGACCCCGUAACUUCGGGAGAAGGGGUGCCUCGGUAGGGUGAAUAGCCCGAGGGGGCCGCAGUGAAAAGGCCCAAGCGACUGUUUAGCAAAAACACAGGUCUGUGCGAAGCCGUAAGGCGAAGUAUACGGGCUGACGCCUGCCCGGUGCUGGAAGGUUAAGGGGAGCGGUUAGGGGCAACCCGAAGCUGUGAACCGAAGCCCCAGUAAACGGCGGCCGUAACUAUAACGGUCCUAAGGUAGCGAAAUUCCUUGUCAGGUAAAUUCUGACCCGCACGAAUGGCGUAACGACUUGGGCGCUGUCUCAACGAGAGAUCCGGUGAAAUUUUAAUACCUGUGAAGAUGCAGGUUACCCGCGACAAGACGGAAAGACCCCAUGGAGCUUUACUGCAGCUUGAUAUUGGACUUUGGUACGAUCUGUACAGGAUAGGUGGGAGCCUGGGAAGCCGGAGCGCCAGCUUCGGUGGAGGCGCCGUUGGGAUACCACCCUGAUCGUAUCGGAGUUCUAACCUGCUACCGUGAAACCGGUAGAGGGACCGUGUCAGGCGGGCAGUUUGACUGGGGCGGUCGCCUCCUAAAAUGUAACGGAGGCGCCCAAAGGUUCCCUCAGAAUGGUUGGAAAUCAUUCGAAGAGUGCAAAGGCAUAAGGGAGCUUGACUGCGAGACCUACAAGUCGAGCAGGGACGAAAGUCGGGCUUAGUGAUCCGGUGGUACCGAAUGGAAGGGCCAUCGCUCAACGGAUAAAAGCUACCCUGGGGAUAACAGGCUUAUCUCCCCCAAGAGUCCACAUCGACGGGGAGGUUUGGCACCUCGAUGUCGGCUCAUCGCAUCCUGGGGCUGAAGUAGGUCCCAAGGGUUGGGCUGUUCGCCCAUUAAAGCGGUACGCGAGCUGGGUUCAGAACGUCGUGAGACAGUUCGGUCCCUAUCUGUCGCGGGCGUAGGAAAUUUGAGAGGAGCUGUCCUUAGUACGAGAGGACCGGGAUGGACGUACCGCUGGUGUACCAGUUGUUCCGCCAGGAGCACCGCUGGGUAGCCAAGUACGGACGGGAUAAGCGCUGAAAGCAUCUAAGCGUGAAGCCCCCCUCAAGAUGAGAUUUCCCAAUUAGUAAGACCCCUUGAAGACGACGAGGUUGAUAGGUUCGGGGUGGAAGCGCAGCAAUGCGUGCAGCUGACGAAUACUAAUCGGUCGAGGGCUUA
Molecule: ribosomal RNA, 1454 nt
Filed under: Paenibacillus arenilitoris
Lineage: Bacteria; Bacillati; Bacillota; Bacilli; Caryophanales; Paenibacillaceae
Description: Bacterial large subunit ribosomal RNA
Rfam family: Bacterial large subunit ribosomal RNA
Source: Rfam by way of RNAcentral